RNAcentral lists this ribosomal RNA (253 nucleotides) under uncultured bacterium. RNAcentral's name for it is "partial 16S ribosomal RNA". It matches the Rfam family "Bacterial small subunit ribosomal RNA", at positions 524 to 776 of the family's 1533-position model. The record is from RNAcentral.
UACGAAGGGUGCAAACGUUGCUCGGAAUUAUUGGGCGUAAAGCGCACGUAGGCGGCUUUGCAAGUCCCAUGUGAAAGCCCACGGCUUAACCGUGGAAGUGCAUGGGAAACUGCAGAGCUUGAGUACUUAAGAGGAUCGCGGAAUUCCCGGUGUAGAGGUGAAAUGCGUAGAUAUUGGGAGGAACACCAGUGGCGAAGGCGGCUCACUGGACCGGUUCUGACGCUGAGGCGCGAAAGCGUGGGGAGCAAACGGG